CCUUUGUUGUGUGGUGAUAGGUUUGCACAGUGGUCAUUGGCUAUUUGUUGGCAGUCUGCUUUAAAUGGAGUCCCCACACUGAAGGCUACCUGAGGUCCGCCGCCCUGCCUGUGUGGACCACUCUGCUUUUCUACAUUGUGUCUUUGACGGGCUCGUGGAGGGUUCCUUUAUUUGUGGUGGUGGUGCUGCUGCUCAUUGUGGGCUCCCAAGAGAAGCCCCCUGUCCCUGGCAGAGGAGAGCUGCCUGGGCAAGUGUUGUCGUUUGCUGCUAACACGAUUUACAUGGCCAUUGCCUGGGGCAGCCUGCAAUCCAAAACUGAGCCUGGCGAAAGAUGCCCCACAGGUG
Long non-coding RNA from Hippocampus comes (tiger tail seahorse), 345 nucleotides. RefSeq lists it as uncharacterized. The transcript is spliced from 3 exons. The record is from RefSeq and is a predicted model, not a curated record. NCBI's taxonomy places the organism in Eukaryota, Metazoa, Chordata, Actinopteri, Syngnathiformes, Syngnathidae.